This is a non-coding RNA of Salvelinus sp. IW2-2015, 1335 nucleotides long. The record is from RefSeq and is a predicted model, not a curated record. NCBI's taxonomy places the organism in Eukaryota, Metazoa, Chordata, Actinopteri, Salmoniformes, Salmonidae.
GCCACAACUCUGCGUGCCUUGUAUAAUGUUAUACCUGCAUGACAACAAAUGAGUUGAUUGCUUUGUACUCUCUUUGUUUGUGCCUCUAUAGUAGCUCUGUAACUUAUAGUAAUGGAAUAUAUCUGAAUCUACAGUCCGUCUAAUCACCCCUUUUAUUCAAACAGCAACAAGAGGAGGCAUCAGAUUCUGAAAGAAAUUAUUGAGGACAAGGCAGCCUUGAMRGCUGCCAUUGUUCAACUUCACAAGCAGCAGGCAGAGUUUAGGCUCCCCACAGUGGAUGAGCUGAUCAAUACUGACAACUUUGUGUGGCCAUAGGAGAGACUUGCCACCAGCAACAUCCAUUUUGCCAUCAAAAAGGCAAUCUUGGACAGACAGGUGUUGGUGAACAGACUGCAGGAGGAAGAGAGGAUCCUGGUGCAGGAGAUGAAGAGCCACUUGGGGAGCCUACAAAGAGCCACAGGAACUCUGGAGGCACUGUCCCAGCAGCUGCAAGUUCAGAGGAAGUUGAGGCAAUGCAGUGGAGUUGUCAGAGGGAGGGAGGAAUGGCCUUCUCUGUCACCUGAAGAGAAGAUUGAGUGAACUGACACAAGACCAAGUCAACACCAGGAAUACCUACCACAAUCUGAUUCUGGGAGAAGGGGUUAUUUUUGAUGACUCUGAUGUAGAAGAGAACUCACAUGAAAAUACAAGUCCUAUUGCUGAGAGCUCAGAUGACGACUGCUAUGCUUUCUGAAAUCAUACACCACCCCUGCCUCUUUCUCUCGGUUUCUCUCUCUCCCGCAGGAGAGAGAAGGCCGCCUCCACCUCUCUCAGGAGCAGCCUGGUCCCCCGGCGUUGACCCCUGACCCCUCACCUUCUGAACCCAUCCAGGGAAAUGUACUGUUGCCCAACCCAUAUAUUUUAGAAGUGCAUUGUACCCUACACCAUAAUUUCAAAUGGUAGGACAUAGGGUCUCUUUCCAUGUGUCCUAUUGAAGCUUACUGGCUGAUGAAGUACAAUAGCGUAUGCCUAUUUACAGAAGCAUAUGAUUUGAUAGUUGUUUUACCAAACUUCAUUGAUGUAAAUGAAUAUAUUCAUGGUCUAAAGAAAUAUAGAAUUUUACAGUAUACAGUUCACAAACUAUAGCCUAGUAAGAUAGGCACAAUGCUGAUUGAUAUACAGUGCUUUUGGAAAGUAUUCAGACCCCUUGACUUUUUAAAAUAGUUUUUUCUGAUCAAUCUGUUCAUCAAUCUGAACACAAUGGCCCAUAAUGACAAAGCAGAAACAGCUUUUUAGAAUUAUUUAAAAAUAAAAACGGAAAUUUCACAUUUACAUAUAAAAGGUGUAUAAUGUUUA